AACAAGGAGAAGCUUGAAGCCAUGGCUCGGUCCGCUGGUUCCGAUGAUGACAAAGCCGCCAAUGCUGACAAUGUUGACGAGGUAAUUUUUUAUAUUAUGCUGAAUAUUAGCAGUUCAUUUUGUUUCAGGUAAUAUUGUUUUAUGUAAAUAGUUUGGUUUUGGUCAGUGAAACGCUUGAUGGUGUAGGUUUCGGGGUUUGGCUUAGCAUUUGCUAGAUUAGAGAUAAAAUUGAAGAACAGUAGGGAUGGGCUCAGUUUUUAUUUGUAAAUUCAUUUCUAGAGGAUGGGAGUUGCACUUGAACAACGCAGGAAUAGUUGAAUCAGCCUUGAAAAAUGUGGAGUUUGGCUUAGCAUUUCCAAUUGACGCAAAAUUGGAAAUACAUGUACCUAAUAGGUCACAAUGAAAGUUCAUGGGGCCACCAGGCUUUUGAGCCAAAGUUCAAGAGGUGAUUUAUGUAUUUGGCCUUUAGAUAUGAGAAAGGGGGAUUAAAUGACAUGGACUGAAGUGGCAAGAGAUAAUAUAGCAACAAA
This 530-nucleotide unclassified non-coding RNA is filed under the name Hevea brasiliensis (rubber tree). The record is from RNAcentral. Lineage: Eukaryota; Viridiplantae; Streptophyta; Magnoliopsida; Malpighiales; Euphorbiaceae.